AUUGAACGCUGGCGGAAUGCUUUACACAUGCAAGUCGAACGGCAGCACGGACUUCGGUCUGGUGGCGAGUGGCGAACGGGUGAGUAAUGUGUCGGAACGUGCCCAGUCGUGGGGGAUAACGUAGUGAAAAUUACGCUAAUACCGCAUACGAUCUAUGGAUGAAAGCGGGGGAUUGCAAGACCUCGCGCGAUUGGAGCGGCCGAUAUCAGAUUAGGUAGUUGGUGGGGUAAAGGCCCACCAAGCCAACGAUCUGUAGCUGGUCUGAGAGGACGACCAGGCACACUGGAACUGAGACACGGUCCAGACUCCUACGGGAGGCAGCAGUGGGGAAUUUUGGACAAUGGGCGAAAGCCUGAUCCAGCCAUUCCGCGUGCAGGAUGAAGGCCCUCGGGUUGUAAACUGCUUUUGUACAGAACGAAAAGGUUUCUACUAAUACUAGGAGCUCAUGACGGUACUGUAAGAAUAAGCACCGGCUAACUACGUGCCAGCAGCCGCCGCGG
Molecule: ribosomal RNA, 500 nt
Filed under: uncultured bacterium
Lineage: Bacteria
Description: partial 16S ribosomal RNA
Rfam family: Bacterial small subunit ribosomal RNA
Source: RNAcentral